RNAcentral lists this ribosomal RNA (750 nucleotides) under uncultured bacterium. RNAcentral's name for it is "bacterial SSU rRNA". It matches the Rfam family "Bacterial small subunit ribosomal RNA", at positions 61 to 810 of the family's 1533-position model. The record is from RNAcentral.
GUCGAACGGUAGAGGGGGCAACCCCUCGAGAGUGGCGAACGGGUGAGUAAUAUAUCGGAACGUGCCCAGUCGUGGGGGAUAACGUAGCGAAAGUUACGCUAAUACCGCAUACGAUCUACGGAUGAAAGCGGGGGACCGUAAGGCCUCGCGCGAUUGGAGCGGCCGAUAUCAGAUUAGGUAGUUGGUGGGGUAAAGGCUCACCAAGCCAACGAUCUGUAGCUGGUCUGAGAGGACGACCAGCCACACUGGAACUGAGACACGGUCCAGACUCCUACGGGAGGCAGCAGUGGGGAAUUUUGGACAAUGGACGCAAGUCUGAUCCAGCCAUUCCGCGUGCAGGAUGAAGGCCCUCGGGUUGUAAACUGCUUUUGUACGGAACGAAAAGGUUUCCAUUAAUACUGGGAGCUCAUGACGGUACCGUAAGAAUAAGCACCGGCUAACUACGUGCCAGCAGCCGCGGUAAUACGUAGGGUGCAAGCGUUAAUCGGAAUUACUGGGCGUAAAGCGUGCGCAGGCGGUUAUGUAAGACAGAGGUGAAAUCCCCGGGCUCAACCUGGGAACGGCCUUUGUGACUGCAUAGCUAGAGUACGGUAGAGGGGGAUGGAAUUCCGCGUGUAGCAGUGAAAUGCGUAGAUAUGCGGAGGAACACCGAUGGCGAAGGCAAUCCCCUGGACCUGUACUGACGCUCAUGCACGAAAGCGUGGGGAGCAAACAGGAUUAGAUACCCUGGUAGUCCACGCCCUAAACGAU